RNAcentral lists this ribosomal RNA (494 nucleotides) under uncultured bacterium. RNAcentral's name for it is "partial 16S ribosomal RNA". It matches the Rfam family "Bacterial small subunit ribosomal RNA", at positions 28 to 507 of the family's 1533-position model. The record is from RNAcentral.
GACGAACGCUGGCGGCGCGCUUAACACAUGCAAGUCGAACGGAAAGGCCUGCUUUCCCUUGUGGAUUGCGGGUACUCGAGUGGCGAACGGGUGAGUAACACGUGAGUGAUCUGCCCCCAACUUGGGUAUAAGCCUGGGAAACUGGGUCUAAUUCCCGAUAGGACUGCAGGGUGGUGCCUGUGGUGGAAAACGCUUUUCUAGUGGUUGGGGAUAAGCUCGCGGCCUAUCAGCUUGUUGGUGGGGUAAUGGCCUACCAAGGCGGCGACGGGUAGCCGGCCUGAGAGAGUGGACGGCCACAUUGGGAGUGAGAGACGGCGCAGAAUCCUACGGGAGGCAGCCGGGGGGAAUAUUGCACAAUGGGCGGAAGCCUGAAGCAGGGACGCCGCGUGGGGGAUGACGGCCUUCGGGUUGUAAACUCCUUUCGACCGCGAGGAAGCCACCUGGUUGGAAGGGUGGUGACGGUAGUGGUAGAAGAAGCACCGGCUAACUACGUG